This 486-nucleotide ribosomal RNA is filed under the name Streptococcus sp. oral taxon C65. RNAcentral's name for it is "bacterial SSU rRNA". It matches the Rfam family "Bacterial small subunit ribosomal RNA", at positions 28 to 496 of the family's 1533-position model. Lineage: Bacteria; Bacillati; Bacillota; Bacilli; Lactobacillales; Streptococcaceae. RNAcentral also lists the same sequence under 1 other name. The record is from RNAcentral.
GACGAACGCUGGCGGCGUGCCUAAUACAUGCAAGUAGAACGCUGAAGAGAGGAGCUUGCUCUUCUUGGAUGAGUUGCGAACGGGUGAGUAACGCGUAGGUAACCUGCCUUGUAGCGGGGGAUAACUAUUGGAAACGAUAGCUAAUACCGCAUAACAAUGGAUGACACAUGUCAUUUAUUUGAAAGGGGCAAUUGCUCCACUACAAGAUGGACCUGCGUUGUAUUAGCUAGUAGGUGAGGUAACGGCUCACCUAGGCGACGAUACAUAGCCGACCUGAGAGGGUGAUCGGCCACACUGGGACUGAGACACGGCCCAGACUCCUACGGGAGGCAGCAGUAGGGAAUCUUCGGCAAUGGGGGCAACCCUGACCGAGCAACGCCGCGUGAGUGAAGAAGGUUUUCGGAUCGUAAAGCUCUGUUGUAAGUCAAGAACGAGUGUGAGAGUGGAAAGUUCACACUGUGACGGUAGCUUACCAGAAAGGGACGG